Xiphophorus hellerii (green swordtail) is the source of this 851-nucleotide long non-coding RNA. RefSeq lists it as uncharacterized. The record is from RefSeq and is a predicted model, not a curated record. The transcript is spliced from 2 exons. NCBI's taxonomy places the organism in Eukaryota, Metazoa, Chordata, Actinopteri, Cyprinodontiformes, Poeciliidae.
UCUAUAUUUGAGGAAAUUUAACUUUGUUCUCACAUUCAUUUACAAAUAAAUGUUAAUCUGGAAAAAAUAAUAAUUUUUAUAAAAACUCCUCGGAAACUUUGGUAAGAAACAAUAUUUAUCCAAAAAUGGGAAUUUAGAACAAACAGAAAUUUGUUUUACAGAUAAGUGAUGAUAACACCAUGGUAAUUCAAUACACAAAAAAAUUGACACAGACCAUUUUAAUUGUUCCAAAGUAGUUUGUUAGAAUUGAGGUUUAUCUUCCUGAUCACCAUCACUACAAUCUGGACUAACAUCAGGACUGUUAGGAUGUCCCUAAACGGCUGGAUUAAGUAGGAGUCUUGAGGCAGAGAAACGGUGCAGAUCCACUGGGUGUUUAUUCACCAACAGUUAACACCUAGGCCUGCUUGCAAUGGCCAAGGGUUUCAGCAGCAACAACUCACAAUGUGGCCAACAUGCAGCCUUUUAUAGUCCCUGGCUGCUCCAAUUAACAAACCCACAAAAAACAGGGUAAAAAAAAUACAUACAUACACACAAACAAACUUCACAAAAACAACCAAAUCUUCAGAAUAAUAUUAGCAAAUACUAUUCAUUUUUAAGUAGUCAUUUCGUUUCCAAAAAGACAUUUUUAUAAAUAUAAAUCCAACAUUAAAUUUCUAAAGUGCAUCGUUCUAUUUCUCCCCCUCUUCCAUCUGCAAUGGUCUCUUCCGGAACCUUUAAAAGGUGUUCAGGCCCCUGGGGAAUCUUUUAGCCUGAACACCCUGCAGAGGAAGAGACAGAAGACACCAUCAGUUCCAGCUGAGAUGCCACUGCAUAAAAACACACAAUCAAUAAAAUACUUCAAUUUGUUUGUA